GAUGAACGCUGGCGGCGUGCCUAAUACAUGCAAGUCGAACGAAAAGACGAUGAGCUUGUUCCUCUGACGUUAGCGGCGGACGGGUGGGUAACACGUGGAUAACCUACUUAUAAUACUUGGAUAAUUACGGAGAAACGGAUCCAAUACCGGCGAAUAUCUUGCACCGGAUGGUUCAAUGGUUAAUGGCGGCUUUGCUGUUUCUAAUAGAUGGUUUCGGGCCAGAUUAGCUAGUUGGUAAGGUAACAGCUUAUCAAGGCGACGAUGCGUAGCCGAGCUGAGGGGGUGAUCAGCCACACUGGAACUGAGACACGGUCCAGACUCCUACGGGAGGCAGCAGUGGGGAAUCUUGCGCAAUGGGCGGAAGCCUGACCGAGCCACACCGCGUGAGUGAAGAAGGCCUUCGGGUCGUAAAACCCUUUUUUUGGGGAAGAAAAAAAGUAGUAUAAAACACGGCCGUUUUGACGGUACCCAAACAAUAAGCACCGGCUAACUUCGUG
This 497-nucleotide ribosomal RNA is filed under the name uncultured bacterium. RNAcentral's name for it is "partial 16S ribosomal RNA". It matches the Rfam family "Bacterial small subunit ribosomal RNA", at positions 28 to 507 of the family's 1533-position model. The record is from RNAcentral.